RNAcentral lists this transfer RNA (66 nucleotides) under Teredo bartschi. RNAcentral's name for it is "tRNA-Asn". It matches the Rfam family "tRNA". From Rfam's summary of the family: Transfer RNA (tRNA) molecules are approximately 80 nucleotides in length. Lineage: Eukaryota; Metazoa; Mollusca; Bivalvia; Myida; Teredinidae. The record is from RNAcentral.
GAAGUAUUAGUUUAAUUGUAGAACAUGCGGCUGUUAACUGCUCGGUGUGAUUGAUCACAUAUUUCG